AUUGAACGCUGGCGGCAUGCCUUACACAUGCAAGUCGAACGGCAGCACGGGUGCUUGCACCUGGUGGCGAGUGGCGAACGGGUGAGUAAUACAUCGGAACAUGUCCUGUAGUGGGGGAUAGCCCGGCGAAAGCCGGAUUAAUACCGCAUACGAUCUACGGAUGAAAGCGGGGGACCUUCGGGCCUCGCGCUAUAGGGUUAGCCGAUGGCUGAUUAGCUAGUUGGUGGGGUAAAGGCCUACCAAGGCGACGAUCAGUAGCUGGUCUGAGAGGACGACCAGCCACACUGGGACUGAGACACGGCCCAGACUCCUACGGGAGGCAGCAGUGGGGAAUUUUGGACAAUGUGCGAAAGCCUGAUCCAGCAAUGCCGCGUGUGUGAAGAAGGCCUUCGGGUUGUAAAGCACUUUUGUCCGGAAAGAAAUCCUUGGCCCUAAUACGGUCGGGGGAUGACGGUACCGGAAGAAUAAGCACCGGCUAACUACGUG
This 486-nucleotide ribosomal RNA is filed under the name uncultured bacterium. RNAcentral describes it as "partial 16S ribosomal RNA". It matches the Rfam family "Bacterial small subunit ribosomal RNA", at positions 30 to 507 of the family's 1533-position model. The record is from RNAcentral.